ACUCCUACGGGAGGCAGCAGUGGGGAAUAUUGGACAAUGGGCGCAAGCCUGAUCCAGCCAUGCCGCGUGAGUGAUGAAGGCCCUAGGGUUGUAAAGCUCUUUCACCGGUGAAGAUAAUGACGGUAACCGGAGAAGAAGCCCCGGCUAACUUCGUGCCAGCAGCCGCGGUAAUACGAAGGGGGCUAGCGUUGUUCGGAUUUACUGGGCGUAAAGCGCACGUAGGCGGACUAUUAAGUCAGGGGUGAAAUCCCGGGGCUCAACCCCGGAACUGCCUUUGAUACUGGUAGUCUUGAGGUCGAGAGAGGUGAGUGGAAUUCCGAGUGUAGAGGUGAAAUUCGUAGAUAUUCGGAGGAACACCAGUGGCGAAGGCGGCUCACUGGCUCGAUACUGACGCUGAGGUGCGAAAGCGUGGGGAGCAAACAGGAUUAGAAACCCUAGUAGUCCCAUGAU
RNAcentral lists this ribosomal RNA (450 nucleotides) under uncultured organism. RNAcentral's name for it is "partial 16S ribosomal RNA". It matches the Rfam family "Bacterial small subunit ribosomal RNA", at positions 335 to 801 of the family's 1533-position model. The record is from RNAcentral.